This 1706-nucleotide long non-coding RNA is filed under the name Triticum aestivum (bread wheat). Its description in RNAcentral is "long non-coding RNA (TAES_LNC023641)". The record is from RNAcentral. Lineage: Eukaryota; Viridiplantae; Streptophyta; Magnoliopsida; Poales; Poaceae.
GAAGUAUAUGGAAAAUGCAUAUGUAUUCUAGCUGAAUGUCCACUUAAGAAUAUAUCCAUGUUUGCCGAUGAAAGCAAUUGUUUUCUCUAGAUGCACUGUGUGCGCUACCAAUGAAACAUUAUCUAUCCUGCACAUACGUCACAACUGCUAAAGCAACAUGACAUCAAACUGGUUAAGCCGUACUUGCAAGAGAGUAUAACAGCAGAUGGAGAAAGUACAGGAAAGAAGAACAUGGAGACUUGGUAGAGAGGUCGUCAAACUGGAACCCAGCUUUGACAUGAGUGGCCAUGCAUAGCAAGAUGUUGCCCGUGGUGCAAUGUGUGCCUUGCAAGUAAGACGACGACGCCUUGCCGAGGCAAUGGAAACUUCAGUAGUGGCAGAAAAACCGAACCUAAGAGGCGGCCGGCAGGGGCUACAGAAGCAGCACACACCAACAGCAAGCCGAGGCAACUUGGGAAGCGGAGGCGGCAAUAAUGACUUGCUAACCAUGGGGCAGUCUGCCAAGCAUAAACCCCAUUCUUCUCAUAAGCUAUAGCCAUGACCGAAGACGACAUCGCAACAUGCCCCUCCCUCCUAUGCCUCAAAUCGUGUACCAGCGAGAGACCGUACCGGUGUAGAGAAGCCCUUGCGAAAAUAUUAUUUAGUUAGAAGGCUGAUUGCUGAUGAACAUUGAUUUUAGAACAAUAAACAUAUGUUCACAUAAUGUUACGGUUAAUCCCGAAAAUAUAGUAUUGAACUAUCCAAAAAGUGAUCUAAAAUGAUGAAAAGUUGAGAACAGAAAACAAUCAACAUCAUCAAAAUAUUCUUCCAAUUAAGACACUACUACAACAAGAGAAUGGAACUUUUGGCAUCAAUGUUGAUGUUCCUCCAUCUGGCUCCAUUCUCUUACCGUCAAAGAAUGGAACUAAUUCAUUUAUGACCAAGCAAAAAUCUCCACCGCGCAAGAGCCUUGUGACAAAAAGAUUGAGAUGGUUACCUCACAGAAUUCCUGCAAUUAGAUGCUCACUUUGGCAACAAAUACUUGAAAGCGGAUAAUUAACUGAAAGGUGAAGCAGAAGUAUGAAUUACUAACCAUUACUUGAUGACCUAUCUACACAAUUGAGAGAUUCUGUAUGUAGUACUAUGCUUAUUCAUAUCAGAAUAUCACAAAGAUGGAUGUGUACCUCCCUGCUCCUAGACCAUGAACUAAAGGGUUGUGAUUUGCUUCUCUUCCUUCAUUGGUCCUGUGUGGAACCAAACAGUACUCAUACUCCUUUUUCAUACAGCUAAAAUAAUGAAUCAAAGAAAAGUCUGAACAACUUCGCACAAAUAAAAGAGCAUAUCUAAUUAAACACAUCCAGUCAAAAAAUUGUUCUCGCUGGAGAGCACAUCAAUAUAAAAUGAAAAGUAUCAAUCAACUUUUAUAUUACAGGUGAUAUUGGCACAAUUUAUCAGAAGAAAAAAAUGUGCAAAUUAGCAAACGCCUUCUGUCCAUAGUAGCAUCAAGAGGUGAAAAACAAGUGAAAUGUAGCAUCAUGGAACCACUGAAUCAACAAGGAUAGUUAGAAUGCAAACAUAUUGGAGAUGAGAACUCAAUUAACCUUUUAUCUGGCACAAGCUUCGCAUCAGAUCAACUUCAUGGAGAAUAUUACUUGUCAACUUCCAUCUCCGCACGACAACGUCCAUCGAUGAUAGUGCUGACUUGCUUGAUUACUUGUCAAAUUCUC